GAUGAACGCUGGCGGCGUGCUUAACACAUGCAAGUCGAACGGGAAACCUUUUAUUGAAGCUUCGGCAGAUUUAGCUGGUUUCUAGUGGCGGACGGGUGAGUAACGCGUGGGUAACCUGCCUUAUACAGGGGGAUAACAACCAGAAAUGGUUGCUAAUACCGCAUAAGCGCACAGGACCGCAUGGUCCGGUGUGAAAAACUCCGGUGGUAUAAGAUGGACCCGCGUGGGAUUAGCUAGUUGGCAGGGGAACGGCCUACCAAGGCGACGAUGCAUAGCCGGGCGGGGGGGGUGAAAGGCUACAUUGGGACUGAGGCCCGGACCAGAAUGGUACGGGAGGGAGCGGUGGGGAGUAUUGCGGGAGGGGGGAUGCCGUGAGGGGGCGACGUCGGGGGAAGGGAGAAGUAUCUCGGUAUGUAAACUUCUAUGAGCAGGGAAGGUAGUGACGGUACCGGACUAAGAAGCACCGGCUAACUACGUG
This 478-nucleotide ribosomal RNA is filed under the name uncultured bacterium. RNAcentral describes it as "partial 16S ribosomal RNA". It matches the Rfam family "Bacterial small subunit ribosomal RNA", at positions 28 to 507 of the family's 1533-position model. The record is from RNAcentral.